GACGAACGCUGGCGGCGUGCCUAAUACAUGCAAGUAGAACGCUGAAGAGAGGUGCUUGCUCUUCUUGGAUGAGUUGCGAACGGGUGAGUAACGCGUAGGUAACCUGCCUGGUAGCGGGGGAUAACUAUUGGAAACGAUAGCUAAUACCGCAUAAAAUUGAUUAUUGCAUGAUAAUUAAUUGAAAGAUGCAACUGCAUCACUACCAGAUGGACCUGCGUUGUAUUAGCUAGUUGGUGAGGUAACGGCUCACCAAGGCGACGAUACAUAGCCGACCUGAGAGGGUGAUCGGCCACACUGGGACUGAGACACGGCCCAGACUCCUACGGGAGGCAGCAGUAGGGAAUCUUCGGCAAUGGGGGGAACCCUGACCGAGCAACGCCGCGUGAGUGAAGAAGGUUUUCGGAUCGUAAAGCUCUGUUGUAAGAGAAGAACGGGUGUGAGAGUGGAAAGUUCACACUGUGACGGUAUCUUACCAGAAAGGGACGGCUAACUACGUG
This 497-nucleotide ribosomal RNA is filed under the name uncultured bacterium. RNAcentral describes it as "partial 16S ribosomal RNA". It matches the Rfam family "Bacterial small subunit ribosomal RNA", at positions 28 to 507 of the family's 1533-position model. The record is from RNAcentral.